This 299-nucleotide long non-coding RNA is filed under the name Salvia miltiorrhiza (redroot sage). Its description in RNAcentral is "long non-coding RNA (SMIL_LNC001321)". Lineage: Eukaryota; Viridiplantae; Streptophyta; Magnoliopsida; Lamiales; Lamiaceae. The record is from RNAcentral.
AAAGCAUGAAGGAGCAUGCUCUCAAAACGGGAGAAAUCGCCGAGGUCAAAAAAAUGCAAGCCGAGAUGAAACGAGAGGAGAUGGAUAUGAAGCUCUUGAACAAGGACACGACGGGUAUGACGGAGGCACAAUUGGCCUUGCACAACCACCUAGUCCAAGAAGUGCUCAAGCGUCGAGGGCUUAUUUAAAUUAGGAAAUUAUUGUUAUUUUUUAUUUUAUUAUCGUAUUUUAAUUAUGUUUUUAAUUUUAUUUUAAUUAUUGUAAUGUUUAAUUUUAUUUUUAAUGAAAUUGAGAAUUUA